UACAACUUUCAGCAACGGAUCUCUUGGCUCUCCCAUCGAUGAAGAACGCAGCGAAAUGCGAUAAGUAAUGUGAAUUGCAGAAUGCAGUGAAUCAUCGAAUCUUUGAACGCACCUUGCGCCCUUUGGUAUUCCGAAGGGCAUGCCUGUUUGAGUGUCAUU
Molecule: ribosomal RNA, 159 nt
Filed under: uncultured Mycena
Lineage: Eukaryota; Fungi; Basidiomycota; Agaricomycetes; Agaricales; Tricholomataceae
Description: 5.8S ribosomal RNA
Rfam family: 5.8S ribosomal RNA
About the family: 5.8S ribosomal RNA (5.8S rRNA) is a component of the large subunit of the eukaryotic ribosome. It is transcribed by RNA polymerase I as part of the 45S precursor that also contains 18S and 28S rRNA.
Source: RNAcentral